AUGAAUAAGAGCACUGAAUUGAAAGAUUCCAACAAGUAUCCAUGCAAAAAAGCCCACGUAUUAAUGUGCCCGACCACAUCCCUGACUGGGACCACGUGCCCGAACAUUUCCCCAAGCACCUCCCUGACCUUGUCCCUGUCCGCUUCCCUGACCUUGUCCCUGUCCGCUUCCUUGACCUUGUCCUUGACCUUGUCCCUGUCCGCUCCCCUGACCCUGUCCUUGUCCCUGUCCGCUCCCCUGACCCUGUCCCUGACCUUGUCCCUGUCCGCUCCCCUGACCCUGUCCCUGACCUUGUCCCUGUCCGCUCCCCUGACCCUGUCCCUGACCUUGUCCCUGUCCGCUCCCCUGACCCUGUCCCUGACCUUGACCCUGUCCCUGACCCUGUCCGCUCCCCUGACCCUGUCCCUGACCUUGUCCGCUCCCCUGACCCUGUCCCUGACCUUGACCCUGUCCCUGACCCUGUCCUUGUCCCUGUCCCUGACCUUGUCCCUGACCCUGUCCGCUCCCCUGACCCUGUCCCUGACCUUGUCCCUGUCCGCUCCCCUGACCCUGUCCCUGACCUUGUCCCUGUCCGCUCCCCUGACCCUGUCCCUGACCUUGACCCUGUCCCUUACCCUGUCCGCUCCCCUGACCCUGUCCGCUCCCCUGACCCUGUCCUUGUCCGCUCCCCUGACCCUGUCCCUGACCUUGUCCGCUCCCCUGACCCUGUCCCUGACCUUGACCCUGUCCCUGACCUUGACCCUGUCCCUGACCCUGUCCUUGUCCCUGUCCCUGACCUUGUCCCUGACCUUGUCCCUGACCCUGUCCGCUCCCCUGACCCUGUCCCUGACCGCUCCCCUGACCCUGUCCCUGUCCGCUCCCCUGACCCUGUCCGCUCCCCUGACCCUGACCCUGUACGCUCCCCUGACCCUGACCCUGUCCCUGUCCGCUCCCCUGACCCUGACCCGGUCCCUGACCUUGUCCCUGUCCCUGUCCGCUCCCCUGACCUCGUCCCUGUCCGCUCCCCUGACCCUGUCCUUGACCUUGUCCGCUCCCCUGUCCCUGACCUUGACCUUGUCCCUGUCCCUGACCCUGUCCCUGACCCUGUCCCUGACCUUGUCCCCUUCCAUAACUCUGACCACUUCCCUGACCAUACCCACUUCCCUGGCCACUUCCAUAACCCUGACCAUACCCACUUCCCUGACCACUUCCGUAACCACUUCCCUGACCAUACCCACUUCCCUGACCACUUCCGUACCCACUUCCCUGACCACUUCCGUACCCCUGACCACUUCCCUGGCCGUAACCACUUCCCUGACCACUUCCGAAACCCUGACCACUUCCCUGACCAUACCCACUUCCCUGACCACUUCCGUACCCCCUUCCCUGACCACUUCCGUACCCCUGACCACUUCCCUGGCCGUAACCACUUCCCUGCCCACUUCCGAAACCCUGACCACGUCCCUCGCCAUAACCACUUCCCUGGCCGUAACCACUUCCCUGGCCACUUCCAUAACCCUGACCACUUCCCUGACCACUUCCGUAACCCUGACCGCUUCCUUGUCCAUAACCACCUCCGUAUCCCUGACCACUUGCCUCAUCACUUUCCUGAUCAUCUGGUUCACUACAUACAUGGCCACAGGUGGUUGGGCAACACUUCUGUGCGGCAGGACACUGGCCAUCAUGGAAACAGCUUUCAGCACAUCCUGGAACGCUCUUCGUUUUGGGACAUUGACCCGGCUUCACUGCAUGGACACAGAUAGUCAGCUUUAG
Long non-coding RNA from Carassius auratus (goldfish), 1752 nucleotides. The record is from Ensembl. Lineage: Eukaryota; Metazoa; Chordata; Actinopteri; Cypriniformes; Cyprinidae.